AUUGAACGCUGGCGGGAUGCUUAACACAUGCAAGUCGAACGAGUGGCGGACGGGUGAGUAAUGUCUGGGAAACUGCCCGAUGGAGGGGGAUAACUACUGGAAACGGUAGCUAAUACCGCAUACUAUCAGAUGUGCCCAGAUGGGAUUAGCUAGUUGGUGGGGUAACGGCUCACCAAGGCGACGAUCCCUAGCUGGUCUGAGAGGAUGACCAGCCACACUGGAACUGAGACACGGCCCAGACUCCUACGGGAGGCAGCAGUGGGGAAUAUUGCACAAUGGGCGCAAGCCUGAUGCAGCCAUGCCGCGUGUAUGAAGAAGGCCUUCGGGUUGUAAAGUACUUUCGGCAGAGAAGCGUUACCCGCAGAAGAAGCACCGGCUAACUACGUGCCAGCAGCCGCGGUAAUUC
This 406-nucleotide ribosomal RNA is filed under the name uncultured bacterium. Its description in RNAcentral is "partial 16S ribosomal RNA". It matches the Rfam family "Bacterial small subunit ribosomal RNA", at positions 30 to 526 of the family's 1533-position model. The record is from RNAcentral.